This 557-nucleotide ribosomal RNA is filed under the name Salmonella enterica subsp. enterica serovar Saintpaul. RNAcentral's name for it is "partial 23S ribosomal RNA". It matches the Rfam family "Bacterial large subunit ribosomal RNA", at positions 1 to 588 of the family's 2925-position model. Lineage: Bacteria; Pseudomonadati; Pseudomonadota; Gammaproteobacteria; Enterobacterales; Enterobacteriaceae. RNAcentral also lists the same sequence under 1 other name. The record is from RNAcentral.
GGGUUGUGAGGUUAAGCGACUAAGCGUACACGGUGGAUGCCCUGGCAGUCAGAGGCGAUGAAGGACGUGCUAAUCUGCGAUAAGCGCCGGUAAGGUGAUAUGAACCGUUAUAACCGGCGAUUUCCGAAUGGGGAAACCCAGUGUGACUCGUCACACUAUCAUUAACUGAAUCCAUAGGUUAAUGAGGCGAACCGGGGGAACUGAAACAUCUAAGUACCCCGAGGAAAAGAAAUCAACCGAGAUUCCCCCAGUAGCGGCGAGCGAACGGGGAGGAGCCCAGAGCCUGAAUCAGCAUGUGUGUUAGUGGAAGCGUCUGGAAAGGCGCGCGAUACAGGGUGACAGCCCCGUACACAAAAGCGCAUGUGCUGUGAGCUCGAUGAGUAGGGCGGGACACGUGGUAUCCUGUCUGAAUAUGGGGGGACCAUCCUCCAAGGCUAAAUACUCCUGACUGACCGAUAGUGAACCAGUACCGUGAGGGAAAGGCGAAAAGAACCCCGGCGAGGGGAGUGAAAAAGAACCUGAAACCGUGUACGUACAAGCAGUGGGAGCACAGGUUU